This 270-nucleotide ribosomal RNA is filed under the name uncultured Lactobacillus sp. RNAcentral's name for it is "partial 16S ribosomal RNA". It matches the Rfam family "Bacterial small subunit ribosomal RNA", at positions 72 to 339 of the family's 1533-position model. Lineage: Bacteria; Bacillati; Bacillota; Bacilli; Lactobacillales; Lactobacillaceae. The record is from RNAcentral.
ACGAUGGAUCACCAGUGAGCGGCGGACGGGUGAGUAACACUGGGCAACCUGCCCUGGAGCGGGGGAUAACAUUUGGAAACAGAUGCUAAUACCGCAUAACAAUCAAAACCGCAUGGUUUUGAUUUCAAAGAUGGUUUCGGCUAUCACUCCAGGAUGGGGCCCGCGGGUGCAUUAGCUAGUUGGUAAGGUAACGGCUUACCAAGGCAAUGAUGCAUAGCCGAGUUGAGAGACUGAACGGCCACAUUGGGACUGAGACACGGCCCAAACUCC